UUUCCCUAGUAACUAGUUACUUUGAAAGUAACGAGUAACUUGAAGUAACUGAGUUACUUUUUUAGAGAAGUAACUAGUAAUGUAACUAAGUUACUAAUUUAAAGUAACUUACCCAACACUAAUGAAGACUACUUUAGGAUCGCCGUUGUGACAGAGAACGAGAUCUGUGCUGGCUUCGAGGCUGGAGGCAUUGAUCCAUGUCAGUUUGACAUAGGGGGACCGCUCAUGACCAAAAAAGAGUCAGUCUGGGUCCAGAAUGGACUUCUCAGUUAUACCUUAUGUGGUAUUUUGGGAAGACCUUCAGUGUUCACUCGUGUAUCCCAGUACCACAAAUGGAUCAGCGACACAGUCACAGGGACUCCACCAGGCUUUGUUCCUGUCACCACCCCAGGCAGUUCAACAUCACCAACCACUAAACUCACCACUCUCCCUACAACUUCCCACAAUAUGUGACAACAUGUUUGACAGUGAUGAAAACCUGAUCUACUUCACUCAUUUCUCUUCAGUCUGCAUUCUUGUUGUUUUACUGCACAUAUGUGCUAGAGCUGGUAAAAUGUAGAUCAACACAUUUGCUCUGUUCCAUAAUUACAUGCAAACAUGAAAAAUGUUAAACAGUUUGCCCCUUUUUUUUCCUUUCAUGAAAUGUAUGAUUUUAAGGUGAAUGUUAUACUUUUUACUCCACACUUUAAAUAAAAACUUUUCAUAUUUUUUAUUACCAAAUUAAAUUCACUUCAUCAAUGAAUCCGAGAGAACAUUUCUCCCAGAUUAACACUGUGGGGUCUGUACCUUACAAAGAGACACCAUUUGUUGACUGUUAAGCUGUGUUAUAUGAAUAAAACUGAACAGAUCUAAAGAAAGCGUUUCUAAAAUUUUAUUUUAUUAGAACAGAACAGAUGGAUGACCACAGCCAUCUCAGGUUAUAAUACAUAAAUCAAAUGGACAUAAUAAAUAAUAAAUCAAGGUGUUUCACAGACAGGUGGUCAAAACUUCAGAUACAAAAACAAUUGUUUCUAAGCUUGUAUUAUCUCCAGCAUUACUUUGGUAUGACCAGGCUCUAACACCAAAGAACACCUUACGUAUGACUGACACACCAGAAGCAUCUGACAGAACUUGGGGUCCUUCAGACACUUAAAUCCUUAAAGUGUGGGUCCAGCACAGUAGCUAUCUUCAGCCACUGAUAGUUAAGCGUUGCUACAUGUUGGGAUAGGUCCUUUGUGAAGUCAGUCUUAAAUCUCACCAUGUAGUAAUGGAAGUGGUGGUUCAAGCUCCACCAAGUGUAUUGGAUGUGCGUGGGUGUUUGAUUCUUAUUAGUUGUUUGGGAUAAGUUUCUUGAGGGCUGGAAUGAUGUCUUGGAAAAUGUGCAACAAGACUGACCAAACAAACAAGCAACCUCAUGGUGCCUUCCAGAAAAUGGGACAUUAAAUGACUAUGGAUAAAAUGGCGUCUAGACUACUAUGUGAAUUUCAUAAACUGUUGUUGUUUUCUGUGACUGAGAAGACCUAAAUAAACAUAUUUUGACCUCUAAGAUCAUUCCAUCA
This is a long non-coding RNA of Oreochromis aureus, 1538 nucleotides long. RefSeq lists it as uncharacterized. NCBI's taxonomy places the organism in Eukaryota, Metazoa, Chordata, Actinopteri, Cichliformes, Cichlidae. The record is from RefSeq and is a predicted model, not a curated record. The transcript has 2 exons.